RNAcentral lists this ribosomal RNA (118 nucleotides) under Dorea phocaeensis. Lineage: Bacteria; Bacillati; Bacillota; Clostridia; Lachnospirales; Lachnospiraceae. The record is from RNAcentral.
UCUGGUGGCGAUGCGCCUGAGGGAAACACCCGUACCCAUCCCGAACACGAUGGUUAAGCCUCAGGCGGCCGAUGGUACUGCACUGGAGACGGUGUGGGAGAGUAGGUGGCUGCCAGAU